AUUGAACGCUGGCGGCAGGCCUAACACGUGCAAGUCGAACGGUAACAGGAAGCAGCUUGCUGCUUUGCUGACGAGUGGCGGACGGGUGAGUAAUGUCUGGGAAACUGCCCGAUGGAGGGGGAUAACUACUGGAAACGGUAGCUAAUACCGCAUAACGUCGCAAGACCAAAGAGGGGGACCUUAGGGCCUCUUGCCAUCGGAUGUGCCCAGAUGGGAUUAGCUAGUAGGUGGGGUAACGGCUCACCUAGGCGACGAUCCCUAGCUGGUCUGAGAGGAUGACCAGCCACACUGGAACUGAGACACGGUCCAGACUCCUACGGGAGGCAGCAGUGGGGAAUAUUGCACAAUGGGCGCAAGCCUGAUGCAGCCAUGCCGCGUGUAUGAAGAAGGCCUUCGGGUUGUAAAGUACUUUCAGCGGGGAGGAAGGGAGUAAAGUUAAUACCUGUGCUCAUUGACGUUACCCGCAGAAGAAGCACCGGCUAACUCCGUG
This 490-nucleotide ribosomal RNA is filed under the name uncultured bacterium. RNAcentral describes it as "partial 16S ribosomal RNA". It matches the Rfam family "Bacterial small subunit ribosomal RNA", at positions 30 to 507 of the family's 1533-position model. The record is from RNAcentral.